GGCGGACGGGUGAGUAACACGUGGGAACGUGCCUUUAGGUUCGGAAUAAGCCCGGGAAACUGGGUCUAAUACCGAAUGUGCCCUUCGGGGGAAAGAUUUAUCGCCUUUAGAGCGGCCCGCGUCUGAUUAGCUAGUUGGUAGUGUAAUGGACUACCAAGGCUACGAUCAGUAGCUGGUCUGAGAGGAUGACCAGCCACAUUGGGACUGAGACACGGCCCAAACUCC
This 225-nucleotide ribosomal RNA is filed under the name uncultured bacterium. RNAcentral describes it as "partial 16S ribosomal RNA". It matches the Rfam family "Bacterial small subunit ribosomal RNA", at positions 97 to 339 of the family's 1533-position model. The record is from RNAcentral.